Small nuclear RNA from Artibeus jamaicensis (Jamaican fruit-eating bat), 106 nucleotides. The record is from RefSeq and is a predicted model, not a curated record. NCBI's taxonomy places the organism in Eukaryota, Metazoa, Chordata, Mammalia, Chiroptera, Phyllostomidae.
GUGCUCACUUCCACAGCACAUACACUAAAAUUGGAACGAUACAGACAAGAUUAGCAUGGCCCUGCACAUGGAUGACAUGCAAAUUCACGAAGCGUUCCAUAUUUUU